Molecule: ribosomal RNA, 1343 nt
Filed under: uncultured bacterium
Lineage: Bacteria
Description: 16S ribosomal RNA
Rfam family: Bacterial small subunit ribosomal RNA
Source: RNAcentral
GACGAACGCUGGCGGCGUGCUUAACACAUGCAAGUCGAACGGAAAGGCCCUGCUUUUGUGGGGUGCUCGAGUGGCGAACGGGUGAGUAACACAUGAGUAACCUGCCCUUGACUUUGGGAUAACUUCAGGAAACUGGGGCUAAUACCGGAUAGGAGCUCCUGCUGCAUGGUGGGGGUUGGAAAGUUUCGGCGGUUGGGGAUGGACUCGCGGCUUAUCGGCUUGUUGGUGGGGUAGUGGCUUACCAAGGCUUUGACGGGUAGCCGGCCUGAGAGGGUGACCGGCCACAUUGGGACUGAGAUACGGCCCAGACUCCUACGGGAGGCAGCAGUGGGGAAUAUUGCACAAUGGGCGGAAGCCUGAUGCAGCAACGCCGCGUGCGGGAUGACGGCCUUCGGGUUGUAAACCGCUUUCGCCUGUGACGAAGCGUGAGUGACGGUAAUGGGUAAAGAAGCACCGGCUAACUACGUGCCAGCAGCCGCGGUGAUACGUAGGGUGCGAGCGUUGUCCGGAUUUAUUGGGCGUAAAGGGCUCGUAGGUGGUUGAUCGCGUCGGAAGUGUAAUCUUGGGGCUUAACCCUGAGCGUGCUUUCGAUACGGGUUGACUUGAGGAAGGUAGGGGAGAAUGGAAUUCCUGGUGGAGCGGUGGAAUGCGCAGAUAUCAGGAGGAACACCAGUGGCGAAGGCGGUUCUCUGGGCCUUUCCUGACGCUGAGGAGCGAAAGCGUGGGGAGCGAACAGGCUUAGAUACCCUGGUAGUCCACGCUGUAAACGGUGGGUACUAGGUGUGGGGUCCAUUCCACGGGUUCCGUGCCGUAGCUAACGCUUUAAGUACCCCGCCUGGGGAGUACGGCCGCAAGGCUAAAACCCAAAGGAAUUGACGGGGCCCCGCACAAGCGGCGGAGCAUGCGGAUUAAUUCGAUGCAACGCGUAGAACCUUACCUGGGUUUGACAUGGAUCGGGAGUGCUCAGAGAUGGGUGUGCCUCUUUUGGGGUCGGUUCACAGGUGGUGCAUGGCUGUCGUCAGCUCGUGUCGUGAGAUGUUGGGUUAAGUCCCGCAACGAGCGCAACCCUUGUUCACUGUUGCCAGCACGUUAUGGUGGGGACUCAGUGGAGACCGCCGGGGUCAACUCGGAGGAAGGUGGGGAUGACGUCAAGUCAUCAUGCCCCUUAUGUCCAGGGCUUCACGCAUGCUACAAUGGCUGGUACAGAGAGUGGCGAGCCUGUGAGGGUGAGCGAAUCUCGGAAAGCCGGUCUCAGUUCGGAUUGGGGUCUGCAACUCGACCUCAUGAAGUCGGAGUCGCUAGUAAUCGCAGAUCAGCAACGCUGCGGUGAAUACGUUCCCGGG